This is a non-coding RNA of Pelobates cultripes (western spadefoot toad), 173 nucleotides long. Lineage: Eukaryota; Metazoa; Chordata; Amphibia; Anura; Pelobatidae. The record is from the annotation of a GenBank genome assembly.
AGACACAGGGAGAAUAGGGGACACUGGGAGACACGUGGACACUGAGACAUUUGGGGACACUGGGAGAAAUGGGGCCACUGGGAGAAAUGGGGACACAGACACUAGGGACACAGUGUCCCCAAAUGUCUCAGUGUCCACAUGUCUCCAAGUGCCCCUAUGUCUCCCAUUUGUCU